CCUUGGGAUUCGGAAUAACAGUUAGAAAUGACUGCCUAAUACCGGAUAAUGUCUUCGGACCAAAGAUUUAUUGCCCAAGGAUGAGCCCGCGUCGGAUUAGCUAGUUGGUGAGGUAAAGGCUCACCAAGGCGACGAUCCGUAGCUGGUCUGAGAGGAUGAUCAGCCACACUGGGACUGAGACACGGCCCAGACUCCUACGGGAGGCAGCAGUGGGGAAUAUUGGACAAUGGGCGAAAGCCUGAUCCAGCAAUGCCGCGUGAGUGAUGAAGGCCUUAGGGUUGUAAAGCUCUUUUACCCGGGAUGAUAAUGACAGUACCGGGAGAAUAAGCCCCGGCUAACUCCGUGCCAGCAGCCGCGGUAAUACGGAGGGGGCUAGCGUUGUUCGGAAUUACUGGGCGUAAAGCGCACGUAGGCGGCUUUGUAAGUUAGAGGUGAAAGCCCAGAGCUCAACUCUGGAACUGCCUUUAAGACUGCAUCGCUUGAAUCAU
Molecule: ribosomal RNA, 488 nt
Filed under: Sphingomonas sp. Air198
Lineage: Bacteria; Pseudomonadati; Pseudomonadota; Alphaproteobacteria; Sphingomonadales; Sphingomonadaceae
Description: bacterial SSU rRNA
Rfam family: Bacterial small subunit ribosomal RNA
Source: RNAcentral